RNAcentral lists this ribosomal RNA (429 nucleotides) under Actinomycetes bacterium. Its description in RNAcentral is "Actinobacteria bacterium partial 16S ribosomal RNA". It matches the Rfam family "Bacterial small subunit ribosomal RNA", at positions 355 to 776 of the family's 1533-position model. Lineage: Bacteria; Bacillati; Actinomycetota; Actinomycetes. The record is from RNAcentral.
UAGGGAAUCUUCCGCAAUGGGCGAAAGCUUGACGGAGCAACGCCGCGUGAGUGAUGAAGGUCUUCGGAUCGUAAAACUCUGUUAUUAGGGAAGAACAAAUGUGUAAGUAACUAUGCACGUCUUGACGGUACCUAAUCAGAAAGCCACGGCUAACUACGUGCCAGCAGCCGCGGUAAUACGUAGGUGGCAAGCGUUAUCCGGAAUUAUUGGGCGUAAAGCGCGCGUAGGCGGUUUUUUAAGUCGGAUGUGAAAGCCCACGGCUCAACCGUGGAGGGUCAUUGGAAACUGGAAAACUUGAGUGCAGAAGAGGAAAGUGGAAUUCCAUGUGUAGCGGUGAAAUGCGCAGAGAUAUGGAGGAACACAAGUGGCGAAGGCGACUUUCUGGUCUGUAACUGACGCUGAUGUGCGAAAGCGUGGGGAUCAAACAGG